This is a long non-coding RNA of Bactrocera oleae (olive fruit fly), 3674 nucleotides long. RefSeq lists it as uncharacterized. The record is from RefSeq and is a predicted model, not a curated record. NCBI's taxonomy places the organism in Eukaryota, Metazoa, Arthropoda, Insecta, Diptera, Tephritidae.
GAUUGUCUCUUAUCACGACAACACUCUAACUAGAACUGUGUUUGCUGCACAAUCCGGCAGCCCUUAUAUAGUAAAUCUGUAACAGAACAUUGCUUCUAGAACAUUCUGGCAACUACGAAUUCGCUAACUAGUUGCUUCUGGCAAUUUAUCGUUGAUUCGAUUUUGUUCUAUCAUCCGUGUUCGUCACAAUAUUAUUUCUUUAUGCUAAAAAUAUCGAUAUCACAGAUAUUGACAUUGACAAUCGUUCGGUGGUACCAUAUUCAUUUCUGCUGAGUAAAACAUUCAAUACUUCUACGAUAUUAAUGUUGAGUUCUGGAGCUCGAUGAAGACCAUCAAAUAUAUUUGCAAGAUGAAAUAACGAAUUACCAAAUUGGUCGGAUCAGCUGCAAUGAAGUUCCCUGACGCAUAUUCGGUUUUCGAAUUCAUGAACAGGAUCCAGUAGUUAUCCAUUUAUAAUAAUUGGGUCGUGGAAACACAGUCAAUCCAAGGUAGACUGAGCAUUUUUAUCUGUGGCUGUUGUUGGUUAAUAUCAACGGACUAUAGUGAUUUAAAGAUAUACGUAAAGAUAUGGACAACAGUAUCACCAGUAAAGUAAAAAAAGUACAACCGACCGUGACCAUGCGCAUUCAUAUGCUUCAGUUCCUUCUGUCGGAACUUUCUCAAAAUACUGGAUGCAUGGAGUUACCUACUGAUUUCUUCGCAAUGAUCAACUUACAAAAUACUCUCAUCGACAAUAUAUUUGCCGAUGUACACACAAAAUAUAAAAAUUUUGAAUGGUUGGCAGAAAGAGCGAAUUUGGUAGCCAAUGUGGACAUCAAUGGAUUGAAUGAUAUAACAGUUGUUGGCAGGGGACUUAGUGUCAUACAAAACUAUCGACGCCAUAGAAGCUGUGAAUUAUCCAAUUGACUUUUUGAAUGCAUUGGAUAUGUUGGGCAUGGGUUGGAUCUCCGGUUAUUUUGCUUCAUAAUUUGAACUCUCAUAAAAUAAUAUUGUGUUAGUGCGUUUACAGUUUGACAAAGCGAAUCAGUGGGUCUGGGCCGGACUGAAUAUGUGCACUUGCAAAUGAAUGUAUUAAAAUUAUAUCAGGUUGAGUGGCAGCUAGAUUAUAGUUGGACAAUUUGGAAUUUAGAAAAAAGGAAUAGAUACUUUUUUAUCGAGUAAGAAUUAGUGUAAUUGAACACGUAAAAUAUGGACCUCCGUUUGCAUCAACAACCCAUUCAAUCAACAGCUGGUCCAUUUUGCAUGCAAUGUUUUAGGAAAAUUUCUUUGACCAAUAAAUGAACAGAGUUUUUUUCAUUGUAGCCACAAUCACAUUAAGUGACAGCGUUGCUAAAUAGUUUACCGACUGUUCUCCAAGUUAUCGAAUCUGGUAACACUAAACAGCUGUAAAAAUGGACAAGUUCAGUGUUGCCAGCAGGAAGAUGUAUCUUCUAAAUGAAGAUUUGUUUAUAAAAAAUAUCAUAAAAAUUUUAAAGUGAAUAUAUUAAAAUAAAAAUUUCAUGUAAAAAAUCUUCAUCAUCAAGAUAUCUCGUAAUACUUAAAGAUUUCUCUUCUCAAAUUUGUUCGAUUAUUGAACAACCUCAUUAAAUUUGGUAGGCAAAAGUUUUUUUCAAUCCUCUUAUGUAGGCAGGUAGGUAGAGUGGCUGUCUGACGACGCACCUAUGCCCAUAGGAGGCCCAUUGUGAUGCCACCGGGUUCUAAUGUUCCCGCACUCUAGUCUUCUCUCUGAACCAACCCGUGCUUCUGAUGAAGUUCAUCUGUAAAAAUAGUUUUAUGUGAGCAACUUCCGAGCCGUCGUCCAGGAACCCUCGACCGAUAGUUGCGAUUAUUUUCGUGUAUAGAGCCUUACAUUCACAUAAAAGAUGUUUUGCAGUCUCCUCUUCUCUUACAUCCUGACAGCUUCUACCAUAGUCAUUGUAAGGUGCACCUAGCCUGCUGCCAUGUCUACCAAUUAGACAGUGACCUGUUAACACUCCUACCAGAGUUCUUAUGUCAUUCCUUUUGAAUUUUAAUAGUCGGUUUGUGCGGCCCAUGUUCCUUUUACGCCACGUUUCCCGGCUAGUUGAGCAAGUCAGGUAUUGCCUCCACCGAGACACAGCUAGAUUUAUAACAUGUUCGUUGAUUAAAUGUUUACAAGUGACCAGAGACAUAAAACUUCCCUCAUUUUCGGAGUCUACUUGAAGAGUGCUUUGGCUAGUUCGUCUGCUUCGCAUUUACCAGGGAUAUCCCUAUGCCCUGGAACCCAUUGCAGAUUUAUCGAGAUCCUCUAAUAGAUCAAGACAUUCUUACACUAUUUUUGAGGAAACCCUAGGAGACUUCAGUGAUUUCAAAGUCGCUUGGCUAUCCGCACAAGCGUUGUAAGCACACUUUUUGUCAGAACAACAAGGCUUUCUUUGAUUGCUGUGAUCUCCACUUAGAAAACACUGCAGUGGACUGGUCAACGGAAGGCGGUGUUGGUAUCUAAAUUGCUGAAAAGACACCACUUCUCACUAGAUUAUCUAGUUUGGACCCAUCUGACUAUCCCUGCAUUCCUGUCCACCUCGUCCCUCUUUUCUAAGUUUAGUUUCAAUUUUAUUGGAGUGGGAAAAUUCGUGGCAGUGGGUAGAUACGGGAACUUACUAAGUAUCUUAGAAUGCCACUUACGGCUGGCGACUAAUUGGGGGGAUUCUCUCAAUAGACCAAUGAUCUACCCGAGGCGUUAGCCCUUAUUUGGGCCCACCCUCCUUUUGAGGGGGUAGAGUGCUGUAGUUGCUCUCUUCCCCCUAGCAUCUACAAGGUGCUUUCCAAAGUAAACAGGACUUAAAAAAAAACAGAACAAAUGGUUUUAUCGGCUUCUGCUUUAAUACAGCUUUUUGCACGGUCCAAAAGCAUGUUGUACGAGUGUUUUAGCUCGUUGCCCGGUAUGGCCGCCAGUAUGCCGGUGCAAGCCUUUUGAAUGGCCUCCACGUCAGCAUAUCGCUUUCCUUUCAUCGGCAAAUGCAUUUUUUCGAAAAGGUAGAAGUCGCACGGUGCCAUAUCAGGUAAGUACGGGAAGUGGUUGAUUGUUAAAAUACGAUUUUUGGUCAAAUAAUCGGCCACAAGCGUCGAUCGAUGAGACAGGGUGUUAUCGUGCAACAAACGCCAACUUCCAUCUUCGCGAUAUUCGGGCCGAAUACGGCACACCAAACGCAUCAAAACUCCAAGGUAGAAUACCGCGUUAACGUUUUGGACGGGUGGAACAAAUUAUUUUUGGACAAUAAUAUUUUAAUCAUAUAAACAAAUCAGCAUUGUCUUCACUUUUGACUUCUCCAGGCGCGAUUUUUUGGGUUUCGACUUUGAAAACGUUGAAACCACUCGUGCACUCUGCUACGGGAUAGGCAAUCAUCGUCAUAAACUUGUUUCAUCAUUUGAAACGUUUCGGUAAAAGUUUUACCAAUUUUAAAACAAAAUUUAAUGUUGGCUCUUGGUUCGAAGCUCAUUUUCGCACCGAUGACAAAAACAUACUGACACUUAAAACUCAAUAACGUCACUUCCAAUAGAUGAAAUAUCAUGAAAUUUCUAUGUUUGGUCUUAAGAUCUUUUAAUUUAAAAUACUUGAUUCUAUUUUUGUUUUGCAAUGCAUUACAUUAUAUUCAUACCAUUUUAUACUUUGCAUAUGUUUAGUGAUAAUAUAUAUUUUAGCACAUAAGCCUGAA